Molecule: unclassified non-coding RNA, 348 nt
Filed under: soil metagenome
Description: partial contains 5.8S ribosomal RNA, internal transcribed spacer 2, and large subunit ribosomal RNA
Rfam family: 5.8S ribosomal RNA (bases 1-120)
Source: RNAcentral
GAUGAAGAACGUAGCAAAAUGCGAUAAGUAAUGUGAAUUGCAGAAUUCAGUGAAUCAUCGAAUCUUUGAACGCACAUUGCGCCCGCUGGUAUUCCGGCGGGCAUGCCUGUUCGAGCGUCAUUUCAACCCUCAAGCCCCCGGGUUUGGUGUUGGGGAUCGGCUCUGCCCUUCUGGGCGGUGCCGCCCCCGAAAUACAUUGGCGGUCUCGCUGCAGCCUCCAUUGCGUAGUAGCUAACACCUCGCAACUGGAACGCGGCGCGGCCGUGCCGUAAAACCCCAACUUCUGAAUGUUGACCUCGGAUCAGGUAGGAAUACCCGCUGAACUUAAGCAUAUCAAUAAGCGGAGGA